AGAGUUUGAUCCUGGCUCAGAGCGAACGCUGGCGGCAGCCUAACACAUGCAAGUCGAGCGGGCACCGCAAGGUGUCAGCGGCAGACGGGAGAGUAACACGUGGGAACGUGCCCUUCAGUUCGGAACAACCCAGGGAAACUUGGGCUGAUACCGGAUACGUCCGUAAGGGGAAAGAUUUAUCGCCGAAAGAUCGGCCCGCG
This 200-nucleotide ribosomal RNA is filed under the name uncultured bacterium. Its description in RNAcentral is "partial 16S ribosomal RNA". It matches the Rfam family "Bacterial small subunit ribosomal RNA", at positions 8 to 235 of the family's 1533-position model. The record is from RNAcentral.